RNAcentral lists this ribosomal RNA (253 nucleotides) under uncultured bacterium. Its description in RNAcentral is "partial 16S ribosomal RNA". It matches the Rfam family "Bacterial small subunit ribosomal RNA", at positions 524 to 776 of the family's 1533-position model. The record is from RNAcentral.
UACAGAGGUCUCAAGCGUUGUUCGGAUUCAUUGGGCGUAAAGGGUGCGUAGGCGGCGAGGUAAGUCGGGUGUGAAAUCUCGGGGCUUAACUCCGAAACUGCAUUCGAUACUGCCGUGCUUGAGGACUGGAGAGGAGACUGGAAUUUACGGUGUAGCGGUGAAAUGCGUAGAUAUCGUAAGGAAGACCAGUGGCGAAGGCGGGUCUCUGGACAGUUCCUGACGCUGAGGCACGAAGGUCAGGGGAGCAAACGGG